UAUGAUUCAUGACUGGGGUGAAGUCGUAACAAGGUAACCGUAGGGGAACCUGCGGUUGGAUCACCUCCUUACCUGAAUGAAG
This 82-nucleotide ribosomal RNA is filed under the name Glaesserella parasuis. RNAcentral's name for it is "partial 16S ribosomal RNA". The stretch from base 1 to 71 matches the Rfam family "Bacterial small subunit ribosomal RNA", at positions 1463 to 1533 of the family's 1533-position model. Lineage: Bacteria; Pseudomonadati; Pseudomonadota; Gammaproteobacteria; Pasteurellales; Pasteurellaceae. The record is from RNAcentral.